UUAAGUGGUUUGCUUCACUCAAUGCUGGUUCAUUGUUUCUAAGGUCCAUGUCUCGUGUUUGGAUUACCUGUUUUAAUGUUUCAUGUUUUGGAUGUUACCUUCCAAGGACCAUUUUCAGUUGCUGCUCCCUGUUUGUGAAUUUGGACUCAACACUUUCACCAAGUUUCACCUGUUUGUCCCAAUAAAUCUCACCAACUGCAUCUGUUCCAUUUUCCGUGUCUGCCCUUGGGUCCAUACCCUGAUACUCCGUGUAGCCUCACAGCUACACGUAACAGAAUGAACCAGCCUGAAAUGGACCCAGCGGAUACUUGCGCUGAUGUGAGUUUUAACUUGUUUUUGGACUUGGAGUUGAGGAAGAUGUGGGAGAGUGCCAGAAAUGUCAUUUAUUGGAAAGCUAUUGUUUCUUUGGCACGGGAAAUGGCAUUUUCGGACCCCUGGCUAAUAGACUCACUGCCAAGCCAGGCCACAAGCUUUUUCCUCACCUCAGCUCCUCAGUUGGCUAGCCACCUGCCUGUUUCCCGGCCCACUGGCCUUGAGCUCCAGCGUCCUAGUCUCCACAUGCCUGAUUCCUGCUAGUCUCCUGGUUGGUAGCCUUUUUCUGUCUGCCCCUGUUCCGGCUAGUGCCUCAGCAGCUAGCCUCCUGCCUGCCUGUGUCUGUUCCCCCUCCUGUGAAGUCAUCUGCAGGGUGACGUGGACGCAGUCGCCGCCGCCGUGUCUCACCGCACUCAAGAUCUGCUGAGCCUCCGCUCCCCAGCUCUGCUGAGCCUCUUGUAAGGUCAUCUGGAGGGCAAGGCGGACGCGUUUGCUGCUGCCGCCGUGUGUCUCCAUCCAGGACAAGGAUUCUAGAACUCUGCUGUACGGAUCUACUACAGACCACUACUUCGGUCUACAGUCUACUCCACACCAUUAAAGUCUAUGGGCCUUUCUCAAUCUGCA
Molecule: long non-coding RNA, 936 nt
Organism: Micropterus salmoides (largemouth bass)
Lineage: Eukaryota; Metazoa; Chordata; Actinopteri; Centrarchiformes; Centrarchidae
Exons: 2
Source: RefSeq, a predicted model, not a curated record